RNAcentral lists this non-coding RNA (21 nucleotides) under Caenorhabditis elegans. The record is from RNAcentral. Lineage: Eukaryota; Metazoa; Nematoda; Chromadorea; Rhabditida; Rhabditidae.
UUGAGAUCCUAGAAUUGGUAA